AUUUUAUAUGAUAUAUUGUACAUCUAUCCUGCGAUUUACACAGAUUUCAAAACAAUAGGUUUUCAAAAAAAUCUCCUUUUUCGUAUACAAAAACAGCAACAUGAAACUUUUUAAUCAGUAUAUCUAUAUAGAUUAUAUACUAUAUGUCCCAUAUUCCAAUAAUGAGUAAAUGAUUUUGAGGUUAGGAGUUUUCUAAUGCAUUUCAAGUUCGAAUCGGCUUGAAUACUGUGCGAAUAGAAACGUUUGAAAUAAGUGAAAGUAUUUAUUCGAACGCAAAGUAGUUAUUAAAUAUUAUAAUGGCUGGUAUUGUAAAAUCCAUGAUGGAGAUUUAUUACGACCCUUUCAAAUGGUCAGUAGUAAAGAGCAUUGGAUUCUUCGCAUUAGGCGUGAAGAUUGCUCUUGAAUGCAAAGGAAUGACUCUAAUGCCACCGAGUGCUGUUUAAAAAUGGAAAUACAAUACUCAUUAAUGCAUUUUUAUUAUUUUUAUUUUACAAAUACUUAAAAAAAAAUUUUGAAAAAUGUUUUUUUACUUACAUAUCUUUUCAAGAUACUGAAUUUUUUUUCAUUGAAUAUUUAUACAUCAAAUAACAGAAAUAUGAAUGAAACAAAUGUUUUGAAUAGAUAAAACAUUACAAACAGUUACAUAUGCAUGUAAAUAUUUUAUGUAUCUUUAUUAAGAUGAAUAGAUUGUAUAAAAUAUGUCAUUAAAUAUAUUUUCUUUUGUGAAUCACGA
Molecule: long non-coding RNA, 733 nt
Organism: Hylaeus volcanicus
Lineage: Eukaryota; Metazoa; Arthropoda; Insecta; Hymenoptera; Colletidae
Exons: 2
Source: RefSeq, a predicted model, not a curated record